This 810-nucleotide ribosomal RNA is filed under the name uncultured bacterium. Its description in RNAcentral is "bacterial SSU rRNA". It matches the Rfam family "Bacterial small subunit ribosomal RNA", at positions 61 to 871 of the family's 1533-position model. The record is from RNAcentral.
GACAGGCGAGGAAUCCGCAAGGAGGAAUCGUGCUGAGUGGCGAACGGGUGAGUAAGACAUGGGGACGUACCCUCAAGAGGGGGAUAGCAUUCCGAAAGGGAUGGUAAUACCCCGUAAGCUCGAGAGAGGGAAGGUGCAACAGCACCGCUUGAGGAGCGACUCRUGGCCCAUCAGUUAGUUGGUGAGGUAAAGGCCCACCAAGGCUAUGACGGGUAGCUGGUCUGAGAGGAUGGUCAGCCACACUGGGACUGAGACACGGCCCAGACUCCUACGGGAGGCAGCAGUGGGGAAUUUUUCCCAAUGGGCGAAAGCCUGAGGGAGCGACGCCGCGUGGAGGAAGGAGUCUUUCGAGAUGUAAACUCCUGUUGUAAGGGAGCAAGGGUAUAUGUAGUGGAAAGGCAUAUACUUGGAUAGUACCUUACGAGGAAGCCCCGGCUAACUACGUGCCAGCAGCCGCGGUAAUACGUAGGGGGCGAGCGUUGUCCGGAGUUACUGGGCGUAAAGGGUGCGUAGGUGGCCGAUAAAGUCAAUUGUGAAAUUCCACGGCUCARCUGUGGGAGUGCGGUUGAAACUAAUCGGCUUGAGGUCAGGUCAGGAAGAUGGAAUUGUCAGUGUAGGGGUGAAAUCCGUAGAUAUUGGCAGAGAACGCCGGUGGUGAAGACGGUCUUCUGGGCUGAUACUGACACUGAGGCACGAAAGCUAGGGGAGCGAACGGGAUUAGAUACCCCGGUAGUCCUAGCCGUAAACGAUGUUCACUGAGUAUGGGAGGCGUUAGCCAUCCGUGCUGAAGCAAACGCGUUAAGUGAACCG